RNAcentral lists this small RNA (2244 nucleotides) under Arabidopsis thaliana (thale cress). RNAcentral describes it as "ATSL074410". The record is from RNAcentral. Lineage: Eukaryota; Viridiplantae; Streptophyta; Magnoliopsida; Brassicales; Brassicaceae.
AGCAGGUGUCAGCGUUGUGUCCAGUGUAGCCGCAAUGAGAACAUUGAACUUUUGGCUUUGAAUUAGCAGGAAAUAACCUGGUCGCAUUCACGGCAAACUGAUCAUUAUGUGAAACCGAAAUGUUGAAUGUGGAAGCAUUGGUUGGUACUGUGACAAUGUUGCAUUGACUGUGAUAAAAAGGUUGUAAAUCUCUGCCAGGUCCGAAUAGUUGAGUAAGAAUCAUUCAGGCCUGAGAGAAACUUAAAAAUCUUGGCAUGCUUGGCAACAGAGUAAGUAGCAGUACAACAUUUGCAAUUUUGGCAAGUAUUGACACAACUAGCUCCAUCCAAGUCAUCCCACAGAUUCUUCAAUGCGGUGUAGUGCACUUCGACCUAAGGACUUGGUUGUCGAAUUGGAAUUUCCCGUCCCAAUCCAGAGGAAUCUUGAAGCACACGUAACCGCCUCGAGGGCACUUCAACCUAAGGACUUGAAAAAAGUCAACCGUGGCGUGACAAAGAAGCAUGCCGUCGAUCCGGUGGUAUGCGCACCUUUACCAGAAACAAAUAUUCAAUUUUUAGUAACGAGAAAGUUAUAUAUCCUAAUUAAAUAAAAGGAUUUUGUUUUUACAUUAACCUGCUAAGAAGCACAAGGUCUCGGUUUGUAAGACCUUGCUCUCUGAACUUUGCUUUCAAAGUUGCGAUAGAGUCUUGAGCGUCUGGCAACUUCUCAGCGUUUUUUACAUUCGAGAUCCGACCAUCGUUUCGGCCUGUCGGAACCUCGUAGAAGGAUCCUUUCGCCUAUUGUAUACAAAUUUGAUGUUAGAUAACCCGUCAAUGUACGUAUAAUAAAGAACAUUGAGCAUUUUUUAAAAUUAUAUUUGUGGGGUAUAUUACUGUUAUAAUGGCGUCUCUGGCAGCUAUAGCGAUGAUGUCCGCACACGACACAACAUCGGGGCAAGACCGCUCAACGGCAGAUUUUACCUUGCCUAUAAUGUUGAAGCCUCCAACGCCGGCUAAGAACCUACUGAGGUAAUUUGGAAAGUAAGACAGUGGAGCAAGCCCGUGAAACUGAAUAACAUUUCCACAAUUUUUGCUUAUAUUUUGCUUAUAUUUUGCUUAUGUUUUGCAUAGAUUUUACCUUAAGUUGACAUGUCUAACCAAAGCAACCUACCUUUGAAGUUAGCACAAUAUCAUCAUUUUGUUGAUCCAGCUUACAAAGAAUUGUGUGUGACCAUUAAUUUUGAUAACAAAUACUUAUAUAAUAACUUUCUAUUUACAGAAAUAUUUGAAAAAUCACUAUAUUUUUAUUUGGAAACAUCUUGAUAAGAAACAAACUAGGAUUUAUUCAAAUCUUUUUUAUUUUCCGAUUCCAAUAUGGUGGGAUUGAAUAUCUAAUAGAUUAAUAGACGUAUAUGCAAUGCUACAAUAAUUGGUAUAAAUAUAUCUUUUCAUAAUUCAAAUUUGUUUAUUUUGUUAAACCAACAAACUCAAAUUGUUAUACUUAACUAUGUAUGAGAUCUUGGAAACUAGUUUGUAGCACUGCAUAAACGUCUAAUCUCUCCUUCAGCACCGAUUUUCACUCCGAUAGCACCCAUCUUUAUCAUGGCUUUAGUGAAAUCCGCAGCAAAAUUAGCCUUUGAACUUUGAUUAGUUUCUAAGUAUGAAUCAAUGAUUUUCUUCAUAUUAUUGUCUUGGUAUAAAACAGAGUCCGAUAGAAUGACACCUCUGCCAUUUUUGAUGUUUUGGAAGAUUUGGUUAUCAAACACAAAUUGGCUAUCCCAGUCCAACGGAAUCCUGACAUUAACAUCACCGCCUUGGGGACACUUUGACCUCAGGAUUUGAAAAAAUUCCGGGUUUAUCGUAGGAUCUUGAGCAUCUAAACGUGGUAUGACAAAGAAGCAAGCCGUUGUACCAAUAGUAUGUGCACCUUUAACAAAAAUAAAAUUCGAGUAAGCAAGAUAGUGUUUUUUUUGUCUUUUCAAAAUAGUAUUUAAUCAAGUUGUUGAGAUUAUGAUAAAUACCAGCACUAAGAAGUACAAGAUCUUGAUCUGAAAGCCCUUUUUCUCUAAAUUUUGAUUUCAAAGUAUUUAUGGAAUCUUGAACAUCUGGCAAGUUCUUAGCAUGAUCAACAUUUGCAAUCAGACCGUCUCUCCGACCGGUUGGAACUUCAUAAAAUGGUCCUUUUGCCUAAUAAGUUAAUAUUUAAUAUCAAAGGAUCUUAUUUAACCCAACACAUAUACAUCGUACGUGUAUUAAAAAAAAAGUU